Molecule: ribosomal RNA, 305 nt
Filed under: uncultured bacterium
Lineage: Bacteria
Description: bacterial SSU rRNA
Rfam family: Bacterial small subunit ribosomal RNA
Source: RNAcentral
UGGGUCCUACGGGGGGCAGCAGUGGGGAAUAUUGGAAAAUGGGGGGAACCCUGAUCUAGCGACGCCGCGUGAGUGAAGAAGUAUUUCGGUAUGUAAAGCUCUAUCAGCAGAGAAGAAAGAAAUGACGGUACCUGACUAAGAAGCCCCGGCUAACUACGUGCCAGCAGCCGCGGUAAUACGUAGGGGGCAAGCGUUAUCCGGAUUUACUGGGUGUAAAGGGAGCGUAGACGGCGAUGCAAGUCUGAAGUGAAAGGCGGGGGCCCAACCUCCGGACUGCUUUGGAAACUGUAUGGCUGGCGUGCAGG